UGCGUAGGCGGAAUAUUAAGUCAGUGGUGAAAUCCUGCGGCUCAACCGUAGGACUGCCAUUGAUACUGAUAUUCUUGAAUGUAGUUGAGGUAGGCGGAAUGUGUAAUGUAGCGGUGAAAUGCUUAGAUAUUACACAGAACACCGAUUGCGAAGGCAGCUUACUAAACUAUGAUUGACGCUGAGGCACGAAAGCGUGGGGAGCGAACAGGAUUAGAUACCCUGGUAGUCC
This 229-nucleotide ribosomal RNA is filed under the name uncultured bacterium. RNAcentral describes it as "partial 16S ribosomal RNA". It matches the Rfam family "Bacterial small subunit ribosomal RNA", at positions 568 to 796 of the family's 1533-position model. The record is from RNAcentral.